This 253-nucleotide ribosomal RNA is filed under the name uncultured bacterium. RNAcentral's name for it is "partial 16S ribosomal RNA". It matches the Rfam family "Bacterial small subunit ribosomal RNA", at positions 524 to 776 of the family's 1533-position model. The record is from RNAcentral.
UACGAAGGGGGCUAGCGUUGUUCGGAAUUACUGGGCGUAAAGCGCGCGUAGGCGGGCAUCUAAGUCAGGGGUGAAAUGCCAGGGCUCAACCUUGGAAUUGCCUUUGAUACUGGAUGUCUGGAGUUCGGGAGAGGUGAGUGGAAUUCCGAGUGUAGAGGUGAAAUUCGUAGAUAUUCGGAGGAACACCAGAAGCGAAGGCGGCUCACUGGCCCGAUACUGACGCUGAGGCGCGAAAGCGUGGGGAGCAAACAGG